UACGUAGGUGGCAAGCGUUGUCCGGAUUUACUGGGCGUAAAGAGCGCGCAGGCGGUCGAUCAAGUCGCGUGUGAAAGCCCCCGGCUCAACUGGGGAGGGUCACGCGAUACUGAUCGACUCGAAGGCAGGAGAGGGUAGUGGAAUUCCGGGUGUAGCGGUGGAAUGCGUAGAGAUCCGGAAGAACACCGGUGGCGAAGGCGGUUAGCUGGGCAGUUGCUGACACUGAGGCGCGACAGCGUGGGGAGCAAACAGG
This 253-nucleotide ribosomal RNA is filed under the name uncultured bacterium. RNAcentral's name for it is "partial 16S ribosomal RNA". It matches the Rfam family "Bacterial small subunit ribosomal RNA", at positions 524 to 776 of the family's 1533-position model. The record is from RNAcentral.